RNAcentral lists this ribosomal RNA (465 nucleotides) under Vreelandella stevensii. RNAcentral describes it as "partial 16S ribosomal RNA". It matches the Rfam family "Bacterial small subunit ribosomal RNA", at positions 338 to 795 of the family's 1533-position model. Lineage: Bacteria; Pseudomonadati; Pseudomonadota; Gammaproteobacteria; Oceanospirillales; Halomonadaceae. The record is from RNAcentral.
CCUACGGGUGGCAGCAGUGGGGAAUAUUGGACAAUGGGGGCAACCCUGAUCCAGCCAUGCCGCGUGUGUGAAGAAGGCCCUCGGGUUGUAAAGCACUUUCAGUGAGGAAGAACGCCUGGUGGUUAAUACCCAUCAGGAAAGACAUCACUCACAGAAGAAGCACCGGCUAACUCCGUGCCAGCAGCCGCGGUAUUACGGAGGGUGCGAGCGUUAAUCGGAAUUACUGGGCGUAAAGCGCGCGUAGGUGGCUUGAUAAGCCGGUUGUGAAAGCCCCGGGCUCAACCUGGGAACGGCAUCCGGAACUGUCAAGCUAGAGUGCAGGAGAGGAAGGUAGAAUUCCCGGUGUAGCGGUGAAAUGCGUAGAGAUCGGGAGGAAUACCAGUGGCGAAGGCGGCCUUCUGGACUGACACUGACACUGAGGUGCGAAAGCGUGGGUAGCAAACAGGAUUAGAUACCCGUGUAGUC